GCGAAGAUCUCGGGAUCCUGCAGAUUCUCCGACAUAUUUAUGGUGAUGAAAUAUUCUCCAAUGAUUGAGUAACGGUUGUAAUGAUUGUAUGACAGCUGGAGAUAUUAUGUUGUGCGCCGAAUUAGGGCAUGUGCGCAUAGCCAGAACGUUGUUGAUACUGUAGUCGUGCUGCUCUGGUCGAGUUAUGAGUAGUUCGAGUGCAUAGCGACCUGAAAGAUUAAUGACUGUGCCACGUGGCUGCUUUUUAUUGGUUGGAGUAUAUAGUACCCCUACAUAAGCCCCCUCUUUUUAGGUCGAUGAAAGAAGUCGGGCUGAAAAGACUUGGAACUCUGAUCGAUGUUGAUUUGAAGUUUGCUUUUUGAAUUUGUGUACGUGGCGAUCAUGCGUGAUUGUCUCGUAUCAUCAUUGUGUCUUUACGGGGAAGUGGAGAAGUUUCCCCGAGCAGUUACCCGUAAAGUUAUGACCACUGACGCACUUCUUGCUUGAUGGGUUGGAUGCUGGACAUGUGGAUGUAUCCGACGGUGGAUGUGGAACGUCGGGUGAGUGGAAAAUAACUACAAGGAACGUGCUUCCCAUGUUUGAUCUUAGCCGUUGAAGGGAUUCGAACUGAUGGCUGAGAUUGCAUGUGCUACAGUAUUUAAACUGUGGCGUAGUAGUGAAGAGUUUACUUUUCUCAAUUUCUCUCUCGAACUGCUGCGUGUUUUCUCUUGCGACCUGAAGAACUUUGAGAGCUCGUGAGGUUAGUUCCUUCUUUUUGUCUUUUGCUUUUGAAUUUCUUCUUCUUUUAUCUUCUAUCUUUUUCCUUGAGAGAGAUGUCGGAGGGUAGUGACUCUCAAAAUGAUCACUUGGGUGGUGAUGAUGGUGAUGAGUAUGAGUCUGAAAGGACUCAUUCUGAAACUGUGUCUCCUAGUCGGGGUGAGGGAGAUGUGAAUCCUGAAAGCCCCCAGAGUAGUGGUCCUCAUGGGGAGGAUUCUUCUGAUGAUGAGAUGUUUGAGGGAGAAGAUGGGUCGUUUUCCCGAGUAGUAAACCCUAAAUAUGUCCAUAGACAUAUUGCCUUUAGGAAGAAGUAUGGGCUUAGCUCGAUUGACCAUCUAGAGAUUAGGUUUUUAGGAGAUCGUUUGCUCUCUGUUGAGUAUCGACCUAAUAACCCUUUCUCAACUGUGUUUAUCUUGACCCAAUUUCGAGCUGGUCUUAGGUUACCUUUAUCUGCCCUUGUGGUCGAUCUUCUUAAUGCGAUUAGACGAGCUCCUUGUCAGAUGAAUGCUAACGUUUGGAGAAAUAUGAGGGUGAUUGACGACCUCAAUAAGUUGCAUAGGUGGAACAUUUCCGUAGAGAAUGUGUUAGACCAUUUUUGUUUUAAACGUUCUGCGAAGCCUGGGCUAGCGGGCUAUAACAUGCAAGUCCGGCCAGAGCGUUUACCCUUGAUCUACCCUGUGAGUAGCGAGCCAUGGUGGAAGGAUCCCAUGCUGAUUACUGGGUCGAUCACUGAGGGGGACAUCCAGUUGCGACAUGUGACUAGAAAUGUUGCUGAUAACCGUAAGCUUCUGGUCGUUAGUCAUUGGUCGUGAUAAAUUUAUUUGUUGUCGAACUUUCUAACUUUGAAUUUUGUUUGCAGCGAUCAGGGACGACCAUCUGGUGAAGAAGAACGACCUGAAGUCCGCUCUGAACGCAUUUGGACUGUGGACUGAUAAUCGCAAGGCGCAGUUCUUGCCUCACCUGAAGGAAUUUUUUAUUCCUAAGGGUGGUCCGAAGACAAUUGCAGAAGAACUCGAGAGAAGGAAGGUGCUAGAGAAGAACUUUAUGUCGUCUGUGCAUAAAGCUGAUAGGGGACGAGCUGGUGGUAGCUCGCGCCAGGGGGAGAAAGAGGCGAGCCCCCAGGUCGUGUCUCCUCCGACCUCUUUGCCUAAGUUGCCUGCUAGGUCGAUGAAGAAGAGGUCGUUCUCAGGUAAUCUGAAGAUGGUGGAGCCACCAGUCGUACCUGAUCCUACCCCUCUUAAGUCAGUUCGUUCUCCUGAGCCCACUCUUGUGUCGAAGAAGACUGUUGCUCGGCCUUUGCAGAAAGGUAAGGGGGUGUUGUCUGAGUUCCGACCUGGGCCAUUCGAUUAUUUGGAUGGCCGAGGGGGAAAGCAUGUCGUUUAUGAUAACGACAGUGCAAUAAAUGACCCUUGCGUUGCCCGAGCUGUGAAUGAGGGCAUCGUUCUGGAUGCUGAUGCUCGAGCAGUGAAGUCGCAAACCCUGUUGGUAACUUGCUCGAAGAUAAACGCAGCAAUGUCCUUGGUGAGUUGGACUUACAUUUUCUGUUUUGUUGUCUUGAUUUACGUACUGUUGUCUAAUCGUUACUUUUGUGUAUAGCUCAACGCCAGCUUCCAGGAAGUUCGUCUGGUCGCUGAGGUUGGAGCUCGAGCUGAUAUCGAGCUGAAGCAUAUGAAUGAGAAGCUCGAGCAGGCGAGGACGAUUGUCGUAGUUGCUGAGUCUAAGGUGAGGGAUAAGGAAGCGGAGAACGUGGUGUUGAAGGAGAUGUUAGAGGUGGUAAGGGGUGAGCUCGCUGCUGCUAAGGAGUCUGCGGUCCACUGGGAGAACACAUGCCAUAAGAACGGUGUAGAGUGGAAGGCUUACUGCGACUACCUGCAGAAACAGAUGAUGGGCUCGCCCGAAGGAGAGGAGACGCGAGGUGGUGAUGAAGGAGCUUUAGUGCCAACUCAGGACACCUCGAUGGGCCCUGCUGAUGUGGUUGGAGGUGGCCAGAACGAGUUGGGUGAUCACAACGAUCAGACCUCCCAGCAGUGAUCUUAUCUCUCUCUUCAGAGAAUCCUGGUGUUUGGUGAGGCCAACCCGAGUCUCCACUACACCAAUAGCUCAUCUUGCUUACACCUUGGUAGCUUCUCCUUGCAUGGGAAAGUACAUCUCCUUCUUCUUCUCACGUUCAGUUUUCAAGUCCGAUGUAGUGAUUUCGAGUGAGCAUUUAUCUAUCUUGACUAAGUUUGUAAAGAAUGAUAGUGGUCGAUCUGCUUUUAAGUCUGUCUGAGCGGCUAGUUUCCAGGGAGUCCUGGUAGCUCGUUCAGAAGACAGGUAGACGAGAUGAAUGGCUGCAAGCAGGACGGACUGAAAUUGUUCUUCUUGUAUGCCUUUAGUUGAAAUUUGCUUUUAUAGCUUCUAGGUUGCAUUUGGUAGAUCGGUUUACCUGUAAUAGUUAGAUUUUCAUAAAGAAAUUUCACUUAUCUACCUUGCAUUCUUAUACUUGUUGCGUUGUCUGCUUGUAUGGGUUUUGCAAACAAUAAGUAACAAGCAUAGUGUUGGACCUGAUGGUGGAUGAGGUCGUAUGCAUGUUAGCUGAGGUGUACGUGGGUCGUGGGAAUGAUAUGACCAAUGUACCAAGUUAAGUUGUAAAUGUUUGAACUUAACAAAAUAAAAAUUAUCAAAGGGACUAGAGUUUUGAUAAUUUGUAGGUCGAGGGAUUGGAUUAGACCUUUAAAAGCCAUUCAUGUUUGAGCUGAGAUGAAGGCAGAAAUGAGUUUGAAUAUUGAAAUGUAAUAGAUAGAUGCUUACAUUUCAUUGAUAAAACUUCUUCAAGUGGUAAGCAUUCCAUGGGUUUUUAACGUUCUCCCCUUCUGGCGUUUGAAGACGAUAAGAUCCGUUGCUUUGAACCUUGGUGAUAAUGUAAGGGCCUUCCCAAUUGGCAUUGAGCUUGCCGAUAGUUGCCUUCCUUUUGUUGUGGAACAUUUUUCUUAGAACUAGUUCUCCGGGUUGAAAAGAUCUAGGACGUACGCCUUUGUUAUAAGCUCGCUUUAGUCUUUGUUGAUAUUGUUCGAGUUUUAUAACGGCGUGGUUUCGUCGUUCUUCGACGAGAUCUAUUCCGAACGACCAGACCUGAUUGUUAAGUUCUGUGUCUACCAGAAGGGAUUUGGUCGUGCCAAAUGUCAACUCGGUGGGAAUAACGGCCUCAACUCCAUAGCAAAGGCUAAACGGUGACAUCCCUGUAGAUGUACGAGGAGUUGUUCUGUAAGCCCACAGGAUGUUUUCUAACUGAUGUGGCCAUUGAUCGUGUUGAUCCUCGAGGGUCGAAUUUGGGGGCGUUGAGCUUGUUAGGCAAUUCAUGGUCGAGGAUCUCCUUGGAGAAGGGAGACUCCUGAAAUUGCUGAAGGGACUGGACAGCAAGUUGUUCUGCGGUAUGGCCUUUGUGAAGUUGUAUGAUGGCCUGAGUGGCUUUGAACUCCGCUAGUUGUAGGCUGAGUUCCUCAUACUUUUGAUUGGAGUCAUCAACAGCAACGACUCCAUGUCCACCAUUUGCUCUUGGUGCUGGGUUGGUAGUUUGUGCAGCCUUUAACUGUGCGUUUUCUUCCUGAAGACGAUUGAUUUGGUCUUGCAGAUCUUGGAUGGUCAGUUCAUGGGUAGCCAUUUGAAUAGAUGACUUUGAGUUGGGUGGGAGGGUUUGGGUUUUUCGAUAUAAUCGAAUUCCUUACAGUCGCCGCCAAAUGUAUUAACCUAUUUCUAGAUCAAUGCAUUCACUAGGUCAGGUCGCUAGCAGACUUGACCAAAAAGGGGGGGAGUUUUAGAUCGGGGUGGUUGCACCUCGUUGAGAUUGAGAUUGCCUACGUACUCUAGUUCGUGGGGAUUGAACCUAGAGAUCAAGCCAUCGUAGUUCUGUUAUGUAGAAGGUGAAGAGGCGAAGAUCUCGGGAUCCUGCAGAUUCUCCGACAUAUUUAUGGUGAUGAAAUAUUCUCCAAUGAUUGAGUAACGGUUGUAAUGAUUGUAUGAGAGCUGGAGAUAUUAUCUUGUGCGCCGAAUUAGGGCAUGUGCGCCUAGCCAGAACGUUGUUGAUACUGUAGUCGUGCUGCUCUGGUCGAGUUAUGAGUAGUUCGAGUGCAUAGCGACCUGAGAGAUUAAUGACUGUGCCACGUGGCUGCUUUUUAUUGGUUGGAGUAUAUA
RNAcentral lists this long non-coding RNA (4926 nucleotides) under Aquilegia coerulea. RNAcentral describes it as "long non-coding RNA (ACOE_LNC001701)". The record is from RNAcentral. Lineage: Eukaryota; Viridiplantae; Streptophyta; Magnoliopsida; Ranunculales; Ranunculaceae.